RNAcentral lists this ribosomal RNA (2069 nucleotides) under human gut metagenome. Its description in RNAcentral is "bacterial LSU rRNA". It matches the Rfam family "Bacterial large subunit ribosomal RNA", at positions 831 to 2925 of the family's 2925-position model. The record is from RNAcentral.
AAUCGAACUCGGAGAUAGCUGGUUCUCCUCGAAAUAGCUUUAGGGCUAGCCUUGAGGUAAAGUCUAAUGGAGGUAAAGCACUGAUUGGACGCGGGUCCCCAAAAGGAUACCAACUUCUAUCAAACUCAGAAUGCCAUAUAGAUAUACUCAGGAGUCAGACUAUGUGAGAUAAGUUUCAUAGUCAAAAGGGAAAGAGCCCAGACCGACAGCUAAGGUCCCAAAGUGUGUGUUAAGUGGAAAAGGAUGUUAGGUUUCUAAGACAACUAGGAUGUUGGCUCAGAAGCAGCCACUCAUUUAAAGAGUGCGUAACAGCUCACUAGUCGAGAGGUCUAGCGCCGAAAAUGUCCGGGGCUAAAACACACCACCGAAGCUACGGAAUUACCUAUGGUAAUUGGUAGAGGAGCAUUCUGUAAGGACGAAGCACAAUUGAAAGAGAGUGUGGACGAAACAGAAGAGAGAAUGCCGGAAUGAGUAGCGAGAUAUAUGUGAGAAUCAUAUAGGUCGAAUGUCUAAGGUUUCCUGGGUAAAGCUGAUCUGCUCAGGGUAAGUCGGGACCUAAGGUGAGGGCGAGAGCCGUAAUCGAUGGACAACAGGUAGAAAUUCCUGUACUACGUAUAAUCAGAACUGUGGGGACGCAGGAGGAUAGGAAAACCGGAGAAUGGAAAUAUCCGGCUAAGUACAAAGGUGUGAGUGAUAGGCAAAUCCGUCACUAUAAGCUGAAGUACGAAUGGGAGCGAAGAAAAGUAGCGAAGUUUCUGAAUCCACACUGUCAAGAAAAGCCGCUAUUGCGUUAUACGUACCCGUACCGCAAACCGACACAGGUAGACGAGGAGAAAAUCCACAGACCGACGGGAGAAGUGUUGUUAAGGAACUCGGCAAAAUGACCCCGUAACUUAGGGAUAAGGGGAGCCAACGCAAGUUGGUCACAGAAAAGAGGCUCAAGCGACUGUUUAGCAAAAACAUAGGUCUAUGCGAAACCGUAAGGUGAUGUAUAUGGGCUGACACCUGCCCGGUGCUGGAAGGUCAAAAGGAGAGGUUAGCGUAAGCGAAGCUUUGAAUUCAAGCCCCAGUAAACGGCGGCCGUAACUAUAACGGUCCUAAGGUAGCGAAAUUCCUUGUCAGGUAAGUUCUGACCCGCACGAAAGGUGUAACGAUUUGAGCACUGUCUCGACAACACGCCCGGUGAAAUUGAAGAACCAGUGAAGAUACUGGUUACCCGCAACAGGACGGAAAGACCCCAUGGAGCUUUACUGCAGCUUAAUAUUGGGAUUCGGUAUUGUAUGUACAGGAUAGGAGGGAGACUAAGAAGCUAGCACGCCAGUGUUGGUGGAGUCGAUGGUGGGAUACCUCUCUUAUAAUACUGAAUUUCUAACCUACUUCCGUGAUCCGGAAGAGGGACAUUGUUAGGCGGGCAGUUUGACUGGGGCGGUCGCCUCCGAAAGAGUAACGGAGGCGCUCAAAGGUCUUCUCAGAAUGAUUGGAAACCAUUCAAAGAGUGUAAAGGCAAAAGAAGGCUUGACUGCGAGAGUGACAACUCGAGCAGGUACGAAAGUAGGACUUAGUGAUCCGGUGGUAACAAGUGGGAGUGCCAUCGCUUAACGGAUAAAAGCUACCCUGGGGAUAACAGGCUUAUCUCCCCCAAGAGUUCACAUCGACGGGGAGGUUUGGCACCUCGAUGUCGGCUCAUCGCAUCCUGGGGCUGUAGUAGGUCCCAAGGGUUGGGCUGUUCGCCCAUUAAAGCGGUACGCGAGCUGGGUUCAGAACGUCGUGAGACAGUUCGGUCCCUAUCCGUUGUGGGCGUAGGAAAUUUGAUAGGAGCUGUCCUUAGUACGAGAGGACCGGGAUGGACGAACCUCUGGUGAAUCUGUUGGUAACCAAUGCCACAGCAGAAUAGCCAAGUUUGGAACGGAUAAACGCUGAAGGCAUCUAAGCGUGAAGCCAACCUAAAGACUAGAUUUCCCAUGCGAAAGCAGUAAGACUCCUUGUAGACGACAAGGUUGAUAGGCCAGAGAUGUAAGCACAGUAAUGUGUUCAGUUGACUGGUACUAAUAAGUCGAGGGCUUGACCAA